This 253-nucleotide ribosomal RNA is filed under the name uncultured bacterium. RNAcentral describes it as "partial 16S ribosomal RNA". It matches the Rfam family "Bacterial small subunit ribosomal RNA", at positions 524 to 776 of the family's 1533-position model. The record is from RNAcentral.
UACAGAGGUCUCAAGCGUUGUUCGGAUUCAUUGGGCGUAAAGAGCGUGUAGGCGGCCGUACAGGUCAGCUGUGAAAACUCGAGGCUCAACCUCGAGACGUCGGUUGAAACCGUACGGCUAGAGUCCGGAAGAGGCGAGUGGAAUUCCUGGUGUAGCGGUGGAAUGCGCAGAUAUCAGGAGGAACACCAAUAGCGAAGGCAGCUCGCUGGGACGGUAUUGACGCUAAGGCGCGAAAGCGUGGGGAGCAAACAGG